This is a long non-coding RNA of Leucoraja erinaceus (little skate), 1478 nucleotides long. RefSeq lists it as uncharacterized. The transcript is spliced from 3 exons. The record is from RefSeq and is a predicted model, not a curated record. NCBI's taxonomy places the organism in Eukaryota, Metazoa, Chordata, Chondrichthyes, Rajiformes, Rajidae.
UCGGUGCAGCGAUGUCGCCGUCAGCCCCGGCCGUUGUUUCUGGAAUGUUCCACGCCAGGCGGGGUAGACACGGCGAGGCGGCACGGGGAUUUAAAUAUCCACACGAGCGAGGGCUCGGGAGGGGAGAAGCGUACUGCAACUUACAACUUGAUCACCUGACAACAACUUGUUGACUGCAUCUGGCUUUCACGUGAGACUUAGUCGCUCAGUCGCUCUCUUAAUUACAGCUCAGAUCGGGCCAUCACACAAAGAACAUUUCUGAGAGCAAUGGUGUCUUGAACAAGGGUUACAAUCAUUUGGACACUUACAACAGAGAUGAGAAGAAAUGUCUUCACCCAGAGGCUGGCAAAUCUUUGGAAUAUUCUAAACGUAAGGCUGAAGAGGCUCAGUCAUUAAGAAAUAUAUUCUUUGAUGUAAAAGAAGUCAAGUAGUUUGGGGAUUGUGCCGUGAUUUUAUUGAAUUGCAGUGCAAGCAUGAGGGGCUGAAUGGACCACCAUAGUUUCUGUUUUAUGUUCAUAUGUUCCCUUCCCUUAUCUCUGUUCCAACCUCUCAUCUUCCCUCAUUUUCUCUCACUCACUUCGCCCUUCUCUCACUCUGAUGCUUCUUUCUCCUAUUUUGAUUUCCCCUUUCUAUUCUCAUUCUUACGCCACCAUCCCCCCAUUCACUACGUUUUCCAACCCCUCUUAAAAAUCAAUUGAAAAAAAUGGUUGGAAUUGAUUUUACAUUAGACCAAAAGACCAAAACAUAGGAUUUUCAUAGCUCAGAAUAAAAAGUUACUUAUGGUUAAUUUAUUUGAUCCCAAUUAGUUAUUUUGACUCAAAAAUGUUAACUUUGCUUCAAAUGGUUCUAUAUGAUUGCUAAGAGAUUCAGUAUGAUUUACUAUGAGGAAAAAGUAUGCCAUCUUUCAGAGGAUUUGAGAUUUGAUUUUUUUUCUCCUAUCAGUUAUAGUAAAUAGAUUAAAUGUUUCAUUUCCUUUAUUGCUAUCAAUUCUGCCCCCAAAAUCUUGUGAAAUCAGAAACAUAUCAAAGUUCAUGAGUGUACUUACUUGUUAAUCCUUGAUUUAUAAAUUUAAUACUUUAUAUUUGCCAAUAUGCUUACUGUGCACCAUUCAAAAUUUAACACAAGCGGUACUUGUGGAAAGUAAUUCAGUCGAAUUCAGUGAUUCAAUAAGCACAAACACAUUUCUGGAGGAAAAUAUUUCCAGUUAGGUCCCUUCUUCAGACUGAUGACAUGGAGGAGCUUGACCCACUGAGCUCCUGCUGCUGUUUGUUUUUUUUUGCUCAAGAAGUCACCUGUAAUCUCCUGCAUCCACAAACACAUUUUUGAUGUUUUUGCAAAUUAACAUUGCAAUGAAUUACUUAGCAAUCCAAAUUCACAAAUGUUAAGAAUCAAGACUGCUUUUUUAAAAUCAUAUAACGGAACAAUGAAACUCAUACUUGCAGCACCACAUAGAUAUGUAAACAUGGUGCUCUGUAAAA